RNAcentral lists this ribosomal RNA (496 nucleotides) under uncultured bacterium. RNAcentral describes it as "partial 16S ribosomal RNA". It matches the Rfam family "Bacterial small subunit ribosomal RNA", at positions 29 to 507 of the family's 1533-position model. The record is from RNAcentral.
AUGAACGCUGGCGGCGUGCCUAAUACAUGCAAGUCGAGCGAACAGACGAGGAGCUUGCUCCUCUGACGUUAGCGGCGGACGGGUGAGUAACACGUGGAUAACCUACCUAUAAGACUGGGAUAACUUCGGGAAACCGGAGCUAAUACCGGAUAAUAUAUUGCACCGCAUGGUUCAAUAGUGAAAGACGGUUUUGCUGUCACUUAUAGAUGGAUCCGCGCCGCAUUAGCUAGUUGGUAAGGUAACGGCUUACCAAGGCAACGAUGCGUAGCCGACCUGAGAGGGUGAUCGGCCACACUGGAACUGAGACACGGUCCAGACUCCUACGGGAGGCAGCAGUAGGGAAUCUUCCGCAAUGGGCGAAAGCUUGACGGAGCAACGCCGCGUGAGUGAUGAAGGUCUUCGGAUCGUAAAACUCUGUUAUUAGGGAAGAACAAUUGUGUAAGUAACUAUGCACGUCUUGACGGUACCUAAUCAGAAAGCCACGGCUAACUACGUG